AACGCACCUUGCGCUCCCUGGUAUUCCGGGGAGCACGCCCGUUUGAGUGUCAUGGUAUUCUCAACCUUCAUCACUUUUGUGACUGAAGGCUUGGAUCUUGGAGGUCGUGCGGGCUCUCACGAGUCGGCUCCUCUGAAAUGCAUUAGCGUGAACGUUUACGGAUCGCUAUCAGUGUGAUAAUUAUCUGCGCUGUUAGUGUUGAAGUAUUGCUUAGUGUCGCGCUUCUAACCGUCCUUCAGUUGGACAACUUACCUGACAUCUGGCCUCAAAUCGGGCGGGACUACCCGCUGAACUUAA
Molecule: unclassified non-coding RNA, 297 nt
Filed under: uncultured fungus
Lineage: Eukaryota; Fungi
Description: partial contains 5.8S ribosomal RNA, internal transcribed spacer 2, and large subunit ribosomal RNA
Source: RNAcentral